Molecule: small RNA, 101 nt
Filed under: Flavobacterium sp. 103
Lineage: Bacteria; Pseudomonadati; Bacteroidota; Flavobacteriia; Flavobacteriales; Flavobacteriaceae
Description: Flavo-1 RNA
Source: RNAcentral
UUGCAUGAGGGAUGGAAAUGACAUCUCCCGAUUUAGAAAAACAAGGCUUUUUUAGCCGUAGUUUUUGUUAAUCGGGAAUAUAAUGGACAGCCCGACCCUUG